CAAUCAAGCGUCUUAAGGGCAUUCGGUGGAUGCCUUGGCGCGCAGAGGCGAUGAAGGACGUGGCACGCUGCGAUAAGCCGCGGGGAGCUGUGAGCAAGCUUUGAUCCGUGGAUUUCCGAAUGGGGCAACCCACCCGCAAGGGUAUCGGCACCUGAAUACAUAGGGUGACGAAGCAAACCCGGGGAACUGAAACAUCUCAGUACCUGGAGGAAAGGACAUCAACCGAGACUCCGCUAGUAGUGGCGAGCGAACGCGGAUUAGGCCAAUGCCUUUGAUCUUCUAACUGGAACCGUCUGGAAAGUCGGGCCUUAGCGGGUGAUAGCCCCGUACAGGUGUUGAAGGUCAAGGGAUACGAGUAGGGCGGGACACGUGAAAUCCUGUCUGAACAUGGGGGGACCACCCUCCAAGCCUAAGUACUCCUGCGCGACCGAUAGUGCACAAGUACCGUGAGGGAAAGGUGAAAAGCACCCCGACUAGGGGAGUGAAACAGUUCCUGAAACCGGAUGCCUACAAACAGCUAGAGCCCGCAAGGGUGAUAGCGUACCUUUUGUAUAAUGGGUCAGCGACUUAGUCUGGCGAGCAAGCUUAAGCCGAUAGGUGUAGGCGCAGCGAAAGCGAGUCUGAAUAGGGCGUUCAGUUCGUCGGAUUAGACC
This 653-nucleotide ribosomal RNA is filed under the name Aerococcus urinae. RNAcentral describes it as "bacterial LSU rRNA". It matches the Rfam family "Bacterial large subunit ribosomal RNA", at positions 1 to 715 of the family's 2925-position model. The record is from RNAcentral. Lineage: Bacteria; Bacillati; Bacillota; Bacilli; Lactobacillales; Aerococcaceae.